ACUGGAAUGAAUGGCUUAAUGAGGACUAAACUGUCUCUUACGACCUGGCCAAUGAAAUUGAUCUCCCAGUACAAAAGCUGGAAUACACCCAUAAGACGAGAAGACCCUGUGGAGCUUCAAAACCAAACCACCCAACAUGGUUCCUUGGAUUUUUAGUUGGGGCGACUUCGGAACAUAACAAAACUUCCAAAGCAUGAAAUUAAUUUCAUCAAGAUUAACACACCAAAAUUCCCACACGAACCCAGCAAUUACCAUUUGACUGAUCAAUGAACCAAGUUACCCCAGGGAUAACAGCGCAAUCCCCUUUUAGAGUCCAUAUCGACAAGGGGGUUUACGACCUCGAUGUUGGAUCAGGACACCCCAAUGGUGCAGCCGCCAUUAAAG
Molecule: ribosomal RNA, 384 nt
Filed under: Lacerta schreiberi
Lineage: Eukaryota; Metazoa; Chordata; Lepidosauria; Squamata; Lacertidae
Description: partial 16S ribosomal RNA
Rfam family: Bacterial large subunit ribosomal RNA
Source: RNAcentral